RNAcentral lists this ribosomal RNA (460 nucleotides) under uncultured bacterium. RNAcentral describes it as "partial 16S ribosomal RNA". It matches the Rfam family "Bacterial small subunit ribosomal RNA", at positions 338 to 795 of the family's 1533-position model. The record is from RNAcentral.
CCUACGGGUGACAGCAGUGAGGAAUAUUGGUCAAUGGGCGCGAGCCUGAACCAGCCAAGUAGCGUGAAGGAUGACUGCCCUACGGGUUGUAAACCUCUUUUAUAAGGGAAUAAAGUGUGGGACGUGUCCUGUUUUGUAUGUACCUUAUGAAUAAGGAUCGGCUAACUCCGUGCCAGCAGCCGCGGUAAUACGGAGGAUCCGAGCGUUAUCCGGAUUUAUUGGGUUUAAAGGGUGCGUAGGCGGCCUUUUAAGUCAGCGGUGAAAGUCUGUGGCUCAACCAUAGAAUUGCCGUUGAAACUGGUAGGCUUGAGGAUGUUUGAGGCAGGCGGAAUGCGUGGUGUAGCGGUGAAAUGCUUAGAUAUCACGCAGAACCCCGAUUGCGAAGGCAGCCUGCCAAGCCAUGACUGACGCUGAUGCACGAAAGCGUGGGGAUCAAACAGGAUUAGAUACCCUUGUAGUC